CCUACGGGUGGCAGCAGUGGGGAAUAUUGGACAAUGGGGGCAACCCUGAUCCAGCCAUGCCGCGUGUGUGAAGAAGGCCCUCGGGUUGUAAAGCACUUUCAGUGAGGAAGAACGCCUGGUGGUUAAUACCCAUCAGGAAAGACAUCACUCACAGAAGAAGCACCGUCUAACUCCGUGCCAGCAGCCGCGGUAAUACGGAGGGUGCGAGCGUUAAUCGGAAUUACGGGGCGUAAAGCGCGCGUAGGUGGCUUGAUAAGCCGGUUGUGAAAGCCCCGGGCUCAACCUGGGAACGGCAUCCGGAACUGUCAAGCUAGAGUGCCGGAGAGGAAGGUAGAAUUCCCGGUGUAGCGGUGAAAUGCGUAGAGAUCGGGAGGAAUACCAGUGGCGAAGGCGGCCUUCUGGACUGACACUGCCACUGAGGUGCGAAAGCGUGGGUAGCAAACAGGAUUAGAUACCCUGGUAGUC
RNAcentral lists this ribosomal RNA (465 nucleotides) under Vreelandella stevensii. RNAcentral describes it as "partial 16S ribosomal RNA". It matches the Rfam family "Bacterial small subunit ribosomal RNA", at positions 338 to 795 of the family's 1533-position model. The record is from RNAcentral. Lineage: Bacteria; Pseudomonadati; Pseudomonadota; Gammaproteobacteria; Oceanospirillales; Halomonadaceae.